CCUACGGGCGGCAGCAGUGAGGAAUAUUGGUCAAUGGCCGAGAGUCUGAACCAGCCAAGCAGCGUGAAGGAUGACUGCCCAAUGGGUCGCAAACCUCUUUUACCUGGGGACAAAAUGUCCCACGCGUGGGAUCCUGUAUGUACCCUAUGAAUAAGCAUCGGCUAACUCCGUGCCAGCAGCCGCGGUAAUACGGAGGAUGCGAGCGUUAUCCGGAUUCAUUGGGUUUAAAGGGUGCGCAGGUGGGUUGUUAAGUCAGUUGUGAAAGUUCGCGGCUCAACCGUAAAAUUGCAGUGGAAACUGGCGGUCUUGAGUGCAGUAGAGGUAGGCGGAAUGCGUGGUGUAGCGGUGAAAUGCUUAGAUAUCGCGCAGAACUCCGAUUGCGAAGGCAGCGCACUGGGCUGCAACUGACACUGAGGCUCGAAAGUGUGGGGAUCGAACAGGAUUAGAUACCCGGGUAGUC
This 460-nucleotide ribosomal RNA is filed under the name uncultured bacterium. RNAcentral's name for it is "partial 16S ribosomal RNA". It matches the Rfam family "Bacterial small subunit ribosomal RNA", at positions 338 to 795 of the family's 1533-position model. The record is from RNAcentral.